GGGGGUGUAAUUGGUUUCGACAAUUAUCUAGAAAUAUAGAUAGCGAGUAGUGGAUUCUCGUUAGCCACUUAAAAAAACGGGAAAAAAAUAUAAAUGCAAAAAAUGAAAAUUUAGCAUUCGCUGCCUAAUUGCGGCGACAUCUUAUAAAAAAGGCCUACGGUUUUUAUAGGGUGACAAAUUAGUAGGAAACGAAUAUAUUUUUUGUCAUAAAGAUAUAGGGUAUAAUAAUGACUACCUUUUUUAUAAAGUUGUUUGUUGAUUUAUAUAAAGGGGAAUUUAUUUAACAAACUGCACUCGGAGAAAUUUAUAUGGAAAGAUUAUUGGACAGGAGUUCAACUCUCCUCACCUCCACCA
RNAcentral lists this transfer-messenger RNA (354 nucleotides) under Clostridia bacterium. It matches the Rfam family "transfer-messenger RNA". From Rfam's summary of the family: Bacterial tmRNA, also known as 10Sa RNA or SsrA, is named for its dual tRNA and mRNA-like properties. Lineage: Bacteria; Bacillati; Bacillota; Clostridia. The record is from RNAcentral.